AGAAGACAUCUGAAAGAGAUUAAAGAUUUAUCGGUGAUGGAUGGGGAUGCGUCUGAUUAGCUUGUUGGCGGGGUAACGGCCCACCAAGGCGACGAUCAGUAGGGGUUCUGAGAGGAAGGUCCCCCACAUUGGAACUGAGACACGGUCCAAACUCCUACGGGAGGCAGCAGUGAGGAAUAUUGGUCAAUGGGCGAGAGCCUGAACCAGCCAAGUAGCGUGCAGGAUGACGGCCCUAUGGGUUGUAAACUGCUUUUGUCAGGGACGAAAAGGGAUGCGAUAACACCGUAUUCCGCUGACGGUACCUGAAGAAUAAGCACCGGCUAACUACGUGCCAGCAGCCGCGGUAAUACGUAGGGUGCAAGCGUUAAUCGGAAUUACUGGGCGUAAAGCGUGCGCAGGCGGUUCUGUAAGAUAGAUGUGAAAUCCCCGGGCUCAACCUGGGAAUUGCAUAUAUGACUGCAGGACUUGAGUUUGUCAGAGGAGGGUGGAAUUCCACGUGUAGCAGUGAAAUGCGUAGAUAUGUGGAAGAACACCGAUGGCGAAGGCAGCCCUCUGGGACAUGACUGACGCUCAUGCACGAAAGCGUGGGGAGCAAACAGGAUUAGAUACCCUGGUAGUCCACGC
This 624-nucleotide ribosomal RNA is filed under the name uncultured bacterium. RNAcentral describes it as "bacterial SSU rRNA". It matches the Rfam family "Bacterial small subunit ribosomal RNA", at positions 171 to 800 of the family's 1533-position model. The record is from RNAcentral.